UCGUUUUAAUACCAAAAUGAUGAACGUGAAGGCGAAGAAAAGGAAAUGCGCAAUAUAAUUAGUCCAUGAUAUCACAAACGACGAGUUGUACGUAUGUAAAUGAGGAAUCUGGACAGGCUGAAAGGGAAGUUUACAAAAUGGUGUCUUGUUGAAGGAAUUCACGAUAGUGGAUAAAGCAGAAGAAAUGGCGAAUCUGGGCGGUGCCUUGGCAGUCGGUGUUGGAACCGCCCUUGGUCGAUUUGCCCGCACCUCGAAAAUGAAAAACAAGUAGCUUGAAAUGGAUCGACAUUAUAUGCACGUUGUUCAAUUAAAAACUUGGUAUUUUUGUUCAAAAGUAGAAAGAAACAAUGUUUAGUAAUCAUUACAAAACAAUGAUUUAUAGAUGGACGACACGAAGAGCACCACCAAUAGAGUAGGAAUAACGUUGGUGUACGUUUUUGUUGUCACUUUACUAGUUCGUAUUGGAGGAUGUGACCUAGAUUUGAUUAGAACACUUGGUCAUAUUAUCUUUAAACUGUUUCUAGAAUCUCUAUACAAAUCUAUUUGUGUUCAUAAUAUGGUCUAAAUUUUGAGUUAGAAUUAAAGCUUUCAUAUUAAGGUUAAACACAUUUUCAGUUUUCUCUAUGUUUUUAAGGUGUUCCACUAUGAUAAAGACACCUUCCGGUGCAAAAUUGAAGGAAGUACAAACGCUUCCGGUUUUACAUUGCUUGUAAAUAAUUCUGUGUAUCCGGGGUAUGCUAGACGCGGAACGUGUCAAAGCGGUUAUCAAUACAAUAAUAUCAGAUCGAGGCAACCUAUACCUGCCUAAAAACACCUGGUUUUGACAUACUCAGUUUUUCUACUUACUUUAGUGAUUGUAAUUGUACUCGUAUAUUUAUGUCUUGACACGGAAACAUUUUAUGAAUUGCCUAAUUGGCAUCAACAUAAUAGUGAUAUAUUCGAGCCAAGUAUCAUAUUCAUAAUGCACCAUGCAUUUUAAUGACUUAUAUAUAAUUCCAUAUAAACAUUCCCACAAAUAACUUCAUUAUAGUUAAGUCCAUUUUUAACAGAACUGACAUGUUCGUUGAAAAGGAAUACAAAUAACUAGUGAAGUUUUAACGUGUCUAAACACUGUUUCAUACUGUAUAAUUGGAUGAGGAUACUGAAAUUGAUGUUUGUUCGAUCGGAAGGUUGAUUUGUAUCUUUUUGUACAUUUUAAGAACGAAAUACUGGAAGGAUAUUUCAAAACUUAAUGUGUAGUUUUUCCAUAGUCCAUUGUUGAUGUGCAUGGUCAAUUUAGAGUCUGUUCAGGAAAACGAUAUGGACGAUAUUUUUUGCACUUCAAACUUGUUUUUUCAUCAUUUUGAGAAGUUCUUGCAGGAUAUUUCUCAAACAAUAUGUGUAGGACCUCAUUUCCCUUAUUAUUCAUAGUUAUUUCAGGACUGAUUUGAAAAACAGAAAGGUUGACAAGGUUGGAUCGUUGAUGAAGACCGUUAUCGCUAUUUCUCAUAAAGCUCUUAAUUGCCUUUUUUCAGAUUAUUUUUACUGGUUCUCCCUGUGCCCAACUGACUAAGAUGAGCAGAAAAGAUAGAAAAGAAGAGAAACAUCAACAGUCUUGCAUAGAUCCAAUAAAGCUCAUUUGAUGUUUGUUCACUCUUAGAAGUGCUUGCUCAAUAAGAAAUUCAAUUUGUCUGGUUUUAUCUUUUAUAAGGACAAAAGUGUUUCAAUAGGAAAACAUUAAAAUUGACUCCAACUUCUA
Molecule: long non-coding RNA, 1738 nt
Organism: Pecten maximus
Lineage: Eukaryota; Metazoa; Mollusca; Bivalvia; Pectinida; Pectinidae
Exons: 2
Source: RefSeq, a predicted model, not a curated record